This 22379-nucleotide long non-coding RNA is filed under the name Arabidopsis lyrata. RNAcentral describes it as "long non-coding RNA (ALYR_LNC000604)". The record is from RNAcentral. Lineage: Eukaryota; Viridiplantae; Streptophyta; Magnoliopsida; Brassicales; Brassicaceae.
CCGCAUACUUACCCCACGGUCUUCUCCUGACGCCUCUGUAAUGCCUCAGGUCAUCCUCUUGAGCCACUGGUGCAGGAACUGCUAUAGUGGCAAGAGGUGGCUUGCGUUGGCUUAGAGUUGAAGUGGUGCAGUGGUGGAUGGUGGAGACAAAGGUGUCUAAGGAAGGGAAAUCGGUAAGAAGGUGUUGGGUUAUGAGAUUCAAAGCUGAUUGGUCUUGUUCUAGUUGAUGUGAAGAAGCCAUAGAUGAUACUGGAGCCUUUUUCUAUCUGAUUGUUGUUUUGAUUGUGGGUUUUGGUUUUUGAGAUUGGAGGGUUAUAUAAAAAUGGAAAGUGAGAGGUUUUUGAGAUUAGCUUCUUUGGUUGGAGAGAGGAAGGAUCCUUUUCAAUUAUUUUGACUUGUUUUCUACUGUUGUUUUGGAGUGUGGCAAGUGGACUUUAAAUAUUAGUAUAAGUUUAAGACAAGAAAGGAGGGAUUUUGUGGAUUUGUCUCUAUUUCCAGGCUUCUUCAUAUCCGAGACACAUUUUAAAAAUGGUUUUUAUUACAGAAAUUUGAAACAAAAAUUGACACUUUUUAAAAAUUUUAUGGGUACAAGUUUAUGUCUGCUUGCCUGUUUUAGACAAUUUCUCGACGGUGUAGGAUUCUCGUUUUUGGUUCACUGUGGAUUAUAUGAUUAGGUGGUUGGAAUUUCUCUUUUGGCCGCACUGUUUCUAUCUUUUUGAAAAUAAUUGGGUUACUUGAUUUAUGUUUCUUUCACGGCUAAGCGAUGAAGUUUUUCCUUCUGGUUGUUUCCUUUGAUUUGGUGACUUGAAAUAGUUAAGGUAAUCUUGUCAUGUUGUAAGAUGUAAAAAUGUUACGAGUUACGACCUUAGCAUCAAGUACAUCUGGAAGCAGAAGUCUCGUGGAGUGGGUAACAAAGGAAUGUCUUAGGUUUGUUUCAACAUACUGAAUUCUCUGUGUCUACUUUGUAACCUCAUGAAAGUUUUUGUCUAUGGUGAAAUUUAUAGGGUUGAAGAAAAGUACAUAUGUUUGUGGGUGUCUGCACUAUUAUAUUAGACAGCGACCAAAGUCUUGGAGGCAAUCGUUUUGCUUGAAGGGCUCAUUAGUAGGUCUUGUAAGUUCAAACUUCUUCUUUGUGCUCGUUUAAGGAAGGGUAGAAAGAAUUGCAUUUAAGAUGAAUCAAUGAAUAUAGGGAAACAAUUUUUACAAUCAGCUAAUCUAGAAGCUUUCAACACAAUCCAAAGUUGCUAAUGUCACCUAAUGUUGGAAUGUUCCCAGUUUGACUCUCAGAAGCUUACAUAACCACGAGGUGGGAGUGUCCAAGAGAUAGAUAAGGAGAUAAUGGAGGCACGGAGAAUAUCCCCAUCUCUUUACUGUCUGCUCCGUCCCAAAACCCCAUCCAACUUGACGGCGUUAAUGGACAAGCAUCAGUCUGAGCCUGAGCCUGAGCCUGAGCCUGAGUUUCUUCCCUCUUCACAGCUUUAUGGCUGCUUAGGUGGCUUACAUCCUCCGUUACUUGUCUUUUCCUCUUUGCUUUCAAAGACACAGUCUUGUUAUUGUCUCCUAAGUCCUCGUGCUUUCCUGCUUCGAGUGGAAAGUUAAGAAUGGCUUUGCUUCCACGUAGUUUAAAAGCAGCCUUGUCAUAACCCCUUGCAGCUUCCAUGGCUGUGUCAAAAGUCCCUAACCAGACACGAACACCUUUCCUGUUUGGGUCUCUGAUCUCAGCCGCAUACUUGCCCCAAGGUCUUCGCCUCACGCCUCUGUAAUGCCUUUGAUCAUCCUCUUGAGCCACUGGUCCAGUAGUAGGAACUGCUAUAGUGGCAAGAGGUGGCUUGCGUUGGCUUAGAGUUGAGGUGGUGCAGUGGUGGAUGGUGGAGACAAAGGUCUCUAAGGAAGGGAAAUCGGUAAGAAGGUGUUGGGUUAUGAGAUCUAAAGCUGAUUGGUCUUGUUCUUGUUGUUGUUGAUUUGAAGAAGCCAUAGAUGAAUGAUAUAGGAGUCUUCUUCGUGUUUGUGUUUGUGAUUGUGGUUUUGAUUAUGGAUUUUGUUUUUUGAGAUUGGAGGUUAUAUAUAAAAGUGGGAGUGAGAGGUUUCGUGGUUAGCUUCUUGGGUUGGAGAGAGGAAGGAUCCUUUUCAAUUGUUUUGACUUGUUUAGUUCCAUUGUUGCUUUGGAGUGUGGCAAGUGGACUACUCUAGUCUCUAUAACUUAUUAUUUUAAGAUAAGGAACGAUUCGUGGCUCUGUCUUUUUCUUGUGAGGGUCCAUCAUCAAAGCUAGUGCCUACUUCCAGGCUUCUUCAUAUCCCAGACACAAAUUAAAAAGGGAUUUUUGUCAAUAGUGGCAUAAAAAAGAGUUUUAGUUUUUCGAAGUGCCAUUAUGAAAAACUCCUUUUGCAAAUAGGUCAUUGUUGUACGUUGUGGCACAUGUAAAAUACAUUCUUGUCCUUGUAGACAGCAAAAGAUAUGUGAGCCUUUAUACAAAGAGGGUUACGAUUUGCACAAGACUUCAUCUCUUUCUCUACUGCUCUCUUUUCCCUAGCCCACCAAAUUCUCUCUUGUUUCCACCACCAGCAGCUCUUGUCCUCCACUUUCAUUAUUCACGUCCAUUAGAUUUUCCUCUAAAUUUGUUUGUCUCUCAUUUUCUUCUUCUUAUGCUUUUUCGUCCACCAGUUUCUUAUACGGAUCCCAAUCCACAUGAUAUGUCCAUUGGUCAUAAUCAUAUGAUGGUUCCUCCUCUUUCUCUACUCCAACCUUAUAAUACUCAUAACUCCCAUUGUCGCCUCCCUAGUCCACCUUCUUCCCCUUGUCUACCAUAAUUGGUCCAUCUCCUUAAGUAUCUUCGUCUAAUUUCAUUAGUUUAGUCUACAGGAUAUGGCAAAAUGAUGUUUUUAGAGGACAAAUCUGGAUAAUCGAUGGACAACAAGAUUGAUAGAUCUAAGAACAAUUUCGGGACCAAAACAAACUGACAAACAAUUGCCAAUGAUCAAGAGUUACCUUUUGCUUGGAUCUGUAAAUCGUGGACGAAUAUUAUGUUUAGAGAAAGAGAUACAUAAAUUUGAAUUAAUUCCUUGGGUUACCAAUGCAACUCUGGCAGAAUUAAAUGCUCAGCCGAGCAGUCAAACCAUCGUUUCCAGCAGGCCAUAUGGAGGGCAUUUCCGUCUUUCUUUGUUGCAAAAAUGGCCUUCCCCAUAACAAGUUUUUUAAAUGGCGUUCCGAAAAAUGAAAGUCUAAAAGAUGGCAAAAUCGUUAAAAAUUUCAAUUAAAAAUGGUUUUAUUUUUUUUAAGAGAAAUAAAAGAAAAAUUGACACUUUUUUCGUACUUUUUGGGUAAAGGUAAGUUGACACAAAUAAAGUUGUAUUUUGGAAAAGGUUGAUGCACUAAUGUGUAUAUGUCCACAGUCCACUUGCCUAUGUUAGACACCAAAUUUAUGUCUCUAUGCAAGUCGUUUAUUUGGAAGGAUUAUCCCUCUGUUCUUAUAACCUCCUUCAUUUCUUCCUCGCUUGGAUCAUAAAAUGGCAUUUUGAACGAAUUUACCUUUGACACACUUACAAGACCCUAUGUAAAUACAUAAAUAACAGAAAGAUCAAAAUUUUCUAACCCUCUGUUGAUACCUCAGAGACUAGGUCGUGGAAAGAACCAGAUAACAAUAUAUUACAACAUUCCCUGUACAAAUGAAUAAAUGAUCAUCAAUAGGGUUUUAGUUUCUUUCCAUUAAUGUGAGAACCAUACGUCCACAAGACCAUAUCUUCAGAACGUAUUUUGAAAAAUGUCGUAAAAUCUCUUUGGAUUUAUUACAGUUAAACUUGAACUUGUAUUCACUAAGAAGACUUGAACUUGUUAUACAUGCAUUCAUCUUAUUAUUCUCCAGUUCGUCGAGAACCUUACAAGUCCACAAUACGAUCGUUAUACGUCUUUUUACUUUUAAGGAAGUUUAAAUGUCUUUAGGUGAAAAAUGAUGACGAAAUCUAUAUAAGACCUUAGAGAAAUCUAAAAAAAUAUAUCAAGGAAACAACUACGGGAGAAAACCUAUUAUUCAACCAAACUAAAAACAGUGGAAAGAUACUAUAACUACAAAGAUUCAACGACCUAUUAGUGUCCAAUGGAAGUUGGCAAAAUUCUUUGGGCAAUAUAUAUGUCUGUCAAUCCUCCUCAUUUGAUCUAGAUUUUGGGUGUGAGUUUGGCCCACACUAAUAUAGUACCAAAACCAAGGUCGAUUAUGGGCUAUCACAUGUGGAUGUCUAGUCUCAUAAAAUUGUCGCUUGAGAUGUACAAUCCUGAGUGUGAGGGCCGAGGAGGUGUAUUAAAGUCUCAUAUUGGAAGUUAGCAAAUUCCUUGGUCAAUAUAUAAGUAUGUGGCAAUCUUCCUUCUUUGAGCUAGCUUUUGGGUGUGAGUUAGGCUUACACUAAUACGACCUAAAAUAGAAGGAUAAGUAAAAACAAUCCUAAACCAAACAACAUCACUUAACAUGUACCUCUCCAAGAUAAAAAAGUGCAAACCCGUGACCCUAAACGAUCAAAUAGACCCCUAAAAAACUCGAAUACUCAACAAAGAAUCGGCCAUCUAGGGAGGCAUAACCAGCAAGAUAAUUAUGGCUGGAAACCGAGACUAGAUUCAUUCGCGGUCAAACCGCGCUAUCGAUCGAAGAAGAUCCGGCGAAUCCAAUCUUGCCUCCACCUAGUCUCAAACCAAUGAACCACCGUCUUCCAAAUGACCUAAAACAGCCUAAUCACACAAAAAAUAAUCCGUAGAACCGACAACCAAAUCACCACGAUCGCAUUACCAUUCGGGUUUGGCAGACGCCUCAAGUUUAAUCCUCGAUCUUAAUUCUUAAAUCUGAAACCUCACCUCUAUAAGUCGGAACCACCAUCUUCUAAAUUUAAUAACCCUAACAUACCUCUCACGUCACCGGUAAAAAAAAGGCCGGUGAUCAGAGAAACAAAGAUCCAAAUAAAGAGAUUAAAAAAUUGAAAAUAAAAAAAGGCCGCGUUUCACUUAAAAAACCCUAAGUGCUCCUUCUUCGCUUUCCUCUGUUUUUCCUCGGAUUUAAAACUCAAAAUUCGUAAUUCUCCAUAUCACUGAACGCUUCCAAUUCAUCAUCCUCGUACGCUCCCAAAUUGCCUUUCCUCUUCGCUUCCAGAUUCUCCUCUUCCGGUCGCCGCCGGAGACCUAGUAUCUCAUCUGCUACGUAUAAUGGUGUCGCCGAAAGAGUUAGUGGCCAUAGUACACUCUUCACUGCUCGGAACGUCACUGCCAACUCCAACGCAGCGUAUCGAACUCACUCAUGCCAUUCGCAACUCAUUUUCCUCUAUUCAGAACCUCCUCUCUUUCCCGGUACUUGCUCGAUUUCCUUUCUACUCGAUGAUACGUCCUUGUGUUUUCUGGGUAUAGUAACCAAAUCUUUUUUUUCUAAUCUCUGGCAGCCUCCGAAGCCGUCGGACAGAGCGCAAGUUCAGUCCAAAGAAAUUCGACUCCCGGAUUCGCUGCCAAUAUCUUUGGAUGACCAAGAUGUCGCUAUUGUAAGUGUUUCUUUCGACUUCUAGAUGACAUUCUUGGUCUUGUGGAGGUUUAGAUUUUAGAAUUUAGAUAUGAAAACAAUUGACACCGAUUAAAGCAAGUUUUGCUUCAAUUUUGCGGAUGGAUUGAAUAAAAUGGUUGUCUAAGUAGAUGUCUAACAAGGCAGAAUUUCGCUGUUUCCUUUACCAUGUUGAAUGAACUUUUAGAAUGUGCUUGGUUGCUGCUCAUUUCCGAUGUAUGAGCUUCUUUUCAUAGGGAUUGUGGUUUGUCCUGAUGAUUUGUUAAAUCUACCAUUUGACACACAUUACCACCUUUAAGCUUCUGUUUAAUUUGAAAUAUGUGCAAUGAUAUAUUUGGUUGAUAUCUUACUGCUUCAGAAAAAAGGUGCCUUUAACAACUCUAACGGCCUAUGUUCUUCAUAUAUUGUUAUUGAUUGUAGAGCUUGAAACUGAGUGAUGAGCUUCACCUAAAUGAGAUAGAUUCUGUUCGUCUGCUUGUAUCUGCAAAUCAGGAGGUGCGAUUCCCUUCGCUUUGCUUCUACUCUCAUCUCUUAGCUUCUAAAGCUCUGGAGUUAUUUUCUGCGAUAUGUUCUUAUAUUUUAUCCUCUGUUUAGUGGGGCUUAAUGGGACGGGACCCUCUUGAGAUUCAACGGCUUGCAACUGGACUAUGGUAUACAGGGAGAAGAGAUCUUACGUCAACUCUAUACACACUCCUGAGGGUAGCUUACUCUCUCAUUAUAUUUCUGGGUUUUUUUUUUGUUCUUCUAGUGUUCUUAACGUCAUCGCACAUUACCAUUUUUCUGGUUGAAUAGGCAGUUGUUCUGGACCAGGGGCUUGAACCUGAUCUUAUAGCUGACAUUCAGGGACUCUUAGAAGAACUUAUUAAAGCUGGGCUCAGACAACGGUUGAUUACUCUUGUAAAGGUAUUAACCACUUGGGUUCUUUUAAGUUACAUUUUCAUAGGUGUCAAAUAUACGUAACUUGAAUAACUUCCUACUUUUCUGCUUGAAUUUCUUCUGAAGCACUCAUCUUAUUGACAAUCAUUCUCAUUAAUGCAAAGACUAUUCUCUUGUUCGUUGUCAUAUCUGUCUAGCUACACCAUUUCAAUCUACUUUUCCAUUUGUUUCUCAUGAUCGUAGAGAAUAAACAAUCUUUCUCCAAUUAGUUAAUUGAAUCCUAUUUUUAAAUGUGUAACUGUUACUUAUUGGGCAACCAUAAGGUAUUGAGACCAUUACAAAUUUUGUCCACAUCAGGAAAAUUAUUGUUUGCUGUUUUCGUCCGCUCUAAUAUGUCAUUGUUGUCAAUGCUGCCUGAUACCUUUUAAAGUUGUCAACUACACGAGCUUCAUAGUUCAAGACACUUGGGGUAAUGCACUUCCUAUGUAAUAAUCAUCUUUGAGAUUUGUUUUUAGUUGUCAAUAUUAUCUUUAAAUUCAAAGACAGUUGCAGUACAUUUAUUUUACCAUUUGUUAUUAACUUCUCACUUUGCAUUAACAUCAACAUGAGUUCAAGCUAACUCUUAAAAUAUUCAGAUCUAACUUGCUUUGGAUUCAAGUGUUCACAUAAAUGAGUCAAUAUAUUUUAAAGAUUUACUUUCGAAACUUCAAAAAUCCAAUGAUUGUCCCCUAUGUCCAUUGUCUUCAUAGCUGAACAUUUGCAGCCAAAGCAUUCUUUAAUCUAGUAGGAAAUAUUAGAUGUAAAAGUCCUUUCAGACGAUCUUGUGACUUGAUAUUUUUUGUUCUUUGGCAUUAUUAUGUAAUUAUUGUCAUGAUAGCAAAUUCUUUGUUGCUAGGAACUCAAUCGGCAGGAUCCUACUGGAUUGGGUGGGCCCUUAUGCGAGCGAUACCUUAUUGACUCAAGAGGUGCUCUUGUUGAACGAAGAGCUGUUGUUCAGAGGGAAAGACUGAUACUGGGACAUUGCCUUGUUCUUUCAAUUUUGGUUGAUAGACCUGGUAAGCUCGUUCAUUUCUUAUAAAGCUUUUGUGCGAAGAUUAAGAAUGCUACUUGUUAAAGAAAUUCAGCUGUUGGAUUCAGUGCUUUUCGUUAAUGGUUUGACUUUUCCAUUAAAAGAUACAGCAUUAGUUCUAUUGUGUCCCAUAGUAAGUGAAACUAUUGAUAAUUGGGUUUCACGUUUGAUAGGACACUAUAUAUGCUAGACUAGUUAGAUCAUUGGUCAAUGUGCUAUGAGAUAUAUUGUGUUUUCAUAUAUAUUAUUGCUAUGUCUGUGUAAUUAUGCUGAAGUUGAGUAUCAUAUGUGAUUAUGGUGUUUGGUAUUCGUACUCCAUUGUUCUGAUCUUAUUUAUCAAAAAUUUGAAAAUUUUGAUUACUAUUUAAUAUUAAGUUUUUUUUUUUUAUUUAUAGUAUUAAAACACUCUUGUGAUUGUAUAUCUUUUGUUAUUUCUCGAAGGAUAUUUUCUAUUUCAAUUUCAUUCUUCUAACAAGUUUGUUUAUUGCAGGUUCGAAAGAUGUGAAGGAUAUAUACUACGUUUUUAAAGAUAAUGCAGCUCAAUUAACUGAAGGAAAUGACACCAUAAGUUCUCAGGUUCAUGCUAGUCCUGUUCAUGACGUAGAGGCUUUUGAAGUUUUCUUUCUUCCCUGCGUAUUAAAUUUAAAAUGUGUUAAUUUCUGAUAAAUGACUAUUUUCUUUGUUGCAGAUUACUUUUAGUCUUUUGUUUUCUCUCAUCAUCACCUUCGUAUCAGAUGCAAUCAGUGGACUAUCUGAUAAGUCAUCUAUGAUAUCUCAAGAUGCUUCGUUUAGGACAGACUUUCAGGAUAUUGUAAGACUAGUUGAUACAUUUUUCUUUCGCUUCUUCUCCCUGUCACCAAAGACCUUCCACUGCUGACACUUGAAAACACACCUAAUCACCUUUCAGGUUAUGGCUUCUGGCAGUGACCCCACUGCUGAUGGCUUCAUUGGUGGCAUAAGGCUUGCCUGGGCUGUACAUUUAAUGCUGAUACAUGAUGGAAUAUCUGGAAUGGAUACGAUUUCCACUGCUUCAACAAAAGAUAUGGGGCACAUAUGCUCCUGCCUGGAGUCCAUCUUCUCAAAAAAUGUGUUUCAAUUUUUGCUGGAUAAUGUUCUUCGAACUGCAGCCUACCAGGUACUUUCAUUAUGAACAUCAUCAUGAAUUCUAUGUGCUCAGUUAUUGUCCAUCAAAUGCGGGGUGCCUAUCUGGAUUCCCUGUGCACUUGAUUUCAUUUGACGAGCUAGUGGAAGAUUUACUUUGAUUUCCCAGCUAGUGGAUGACAUGUUUGGCUCCUUAAACUUUUAUAUUGAAUGAGCUAUUAUGCAUGGUUCAUGACUGUAUCAGAAAAAGAGCUAUUUUCUAAUGGUGCCUAUGGUGUUUAUAUUUUUCCUUCAUGACAGCUGUAGUGUAUAUUGUCUGUUUUAUGGUAAUGGUUAUAUGUGUUGGCCUGUAUGGAUACCGUUUUAAUCCUUCAUGAAUUCAAUUUUUACUUGAUUAGUCAUUCCCAAAUGUAAGAGUGUUCCUAUUUCUUUAUGCUGAUUUUUCUGCUUCUAAUCACAUUAUAUAUAUCUACUAAUGAUUUCAUUAUUUGAGAUAUGACUUUAUUAUAUUGGUGUUUGACGGGCUCCUCUUUGGAUGCUGUAUUCAUUCUUGUUUAGUCUCUAGGUUUUGCUUGUUAAGUCAGAUCUCAAUUUCAAGUCUCUUUCCAGUUUUAUUCUGUGAGCUUUGAUUUCCCUGACUCAACCCACGUUCCCCCUUGUGUUGGUCUAUCAAUGGUUGACCUUUUGUUAGUUGCUACAUGCAGAAUGAUGAAGAGGACAUGAUCUACAUAUAUAAUGCUUAUCUGCACAAGUUAGCCUCUUGUUUUUUAUCUCACCCGAUCGCAAGAGAUAAGGUUUGUUAAAUAUAUAGAUUAAUGUAUAUCUACUUAGUAUUUGUGUAUUGAUUAUAUGUUGGUGAUCAAAGUUUGAACGCUGCAACUUUAUCAUGUAAAGCUUGUAAUUUUUUCUCCUUACUUCAUGGUCUGAUAAUUAUGAUGAAAAUUGGUAGUAUCUGCUUUCCAUUUAGAGGGAGUAACCUUUUGAUGUAUCAGUCACAGAUUCUGAGUAUUUCAGCUGGAUCACUUAGGGGAUAUGAGUAGCAUAUAAACUUCAUUAAUGGCUGCACCUUAGAUCAUUGCUAUUUUUUCUGAUGGUUUGAUAGUGUCUGAUAAGUUGAAUGUAUGAGCCAAGAUGAGAAAUACAAUAUCGUAUCUACAUGUUUAUCUCCUGUGUCAAGCCUGACAUCAUUAUUUUGCAGGUGAAGGAAUCAAAGGACAUGGCUAUGAGUGUUCUAAAUUCUUACCGAACUUGUGAUUCGCUUGAUGGAAGUAUGCAGACUGAAGAGGCUGACAGGCCGCUGCCCUUCAUUUCUCUUAUGGAGUUUGUAAGCAAAAUUUAUCAGGUUGAGAACGACUACCAUAUGGAAGCAGUUAUUAUCUUUGUUUUUUUUUUGUUAAUUUUUCUCAAAUGUUGGAAAAUGAGUUUGCCUGGUAUCUUGAAGUUGAGCUCUGUUCAUAUGUUUUUUGGUAGCUUAUUUUGUUUUUCAUAGCACAGUGAGCAUUCAGAAUACAUCUCGAUCAUAUCUCAUUUUUCAUACCAUAUUCCUGUUUUUGUGUCUUUUGAUAUUUACAACCUUUUACAGAAGGAACCUGAGCUACUCUCCGGGAAUGAUGUCUUGUGGACAUUUGUGAAUUUUGCUGGAGAGGACCACACAAAUUUUAAAACUCUUGUGGCUUUCUUGGAAAUGCUGUGUACCUUGGUAUGAGAAAUCUUUAUAUUGGUAUUUUGGUGGGACAUCAUUUACUUGGUUACUCAUUGAGUUUCCUUGCUGUCAUCUUUAUUUGAUUUCAGGCUUCCACUCAGGAAGGUGCUUCUAAAGUUUAUGAGUUGCUCCGGGGUACAUCAUUCCGCAGUAUAGGAUGGCCCACUUUGUUUGAUUGUAUAAGAAUUUACGAUGAGAAGUUCAAGCAGUCUCUUCAAACUGCUGGAGCCAUGAUGCCAGAGUUCCUGGAGGGCGAUGCAAAAGCACUUGUCGCAUAUCUGAAUGUACUUCAGAAGGUUAUAUAACUCUAUUCCAAAUAUAUUCUGUUUCAACUUCCAUUCCACGUUUAAUAGUCUUAUAUGGUGCUUUUUAUCUAAGACAAGUUCAGCUUGUAUUCCUAGGACAAGUUCAGCUUGUAUUCCUAGGAACUGGGCUUAACUGCGAUUUGGUUCUAGUUGUUUACCUAAAUGCUUUCUCCGGGGUUAUGGAGAAGAGCCAUAUAAUUUUUCGCUAUGAGUUCCUAGGAGGGGAAUUUGUUUUUUAAAUGUCCUUGCAAAUGAUUCGUUCUCUGUGAAACUGAUGUUUGAACUUAAGAUAUUUUUUUUAUGGUCAAUAAGUUUAUUUUUCAUAUUCUGCAGGUUGUUGAGAAUGGUAAUCCCACUGAGAGGAAAAACUGGUUUCCUGAUAUCGAACCAUUUUUUAAGCUUCUUGGUUAUGAAAACAUCCCUCCAUAUCUGAAGGUCAGUGGUGUACUGGAGAUUCUUCCCCUUACACGUUGGACUCGCAAAUGAUAUGUGGAAAGCAUCUGGAAUCGGUAUCUAUAUAACUUGUGUUCAUUGUAACUUUAUUUUCUGCAGGGUGCUCUUAGAAAGACCAUUGCUGCCUUUGUUAAUGUCUUUCCAGAAAUGAGGGACUCUAUCUGGGCUUUUCUUGAGCAGUAUGAUCUGCCUGUUGUUGUGGGAUCACCAGUUGGAAAGAGUGACCAAUCUUCUCAGGUAAGUGCAUGGCUUCGAGGGAUAGUUAUUAGCAGAUUUUUUAACUCUACUUCUUUAGUUAAUAUUUCUCUUAUUAUUGAGAAUUUAUUAAAAUUUAUGCUUCUGCAUUUAUUUUCUAAACAUCUUAUACUUAUGCGUUAAAAGUGGGGUUGUCAUGUUGCAUAGACGAUUGAUAUCAUUUUUUGUUAUGUAAAUUUGAUGUUGGUAACACAAAAAAUAUUAAUAUUUGUCUAAUUCCUGCAUGUGAUGAAAGUUUUAGUUUCAUUUAUUUUACAUAAUACUCACAUAAUGCACUGUGCCAUGUUCAGUGCAGCUAAAACUUGGAAUAUCACGUGUUGUUUGAUGCUGCUUUUGCUUUUCCAGGUGGAGAGAAUCUUCAGCGUAUCGUCAAAACCUAAUCUCACAAUUCGCUUAUAUGCAGGUCUAUGAUAUGCAAUUUGAGUUAAAUGAAGUGGAAGCAAGGAGAGAACAGUAUCCUUCAACAAUAUCGUUCCUUAAUCUUAUAAACGCUCUGAUUGCUGGGGAGAAAGAUGUGAAUGAUCGUGGGCGUAGGUAGUAGUAGCCUUAGAUUGUUGUCUCUUUCCAUGAAGCUUAGUCUUCGUUUUUCUUGGUCUAAUGUUUAUAUGUAUAUUUUUGUAGAUUUAUUGGCAUCUUCAGGUUUGUGUAUGAUCAUGUAUUCACCCCUUUUCCUCAGAGGGCAUAUUCUGAUCCUUGUGAGAAGUGGCAAUUGGUUGUGGCAUGCCUUCAACAUUUUCACAUGUAAGCUCCUGCUUCUGUUUUCAAUAAUUUCCUUGCUCGGUCCAAAAUAAACUCUGAUUUUUAGCAGAAACAUAGUGUUCCUACCUUUUGUAAACUCCACCACUUUUCAUUUAGGGCACUAUUUGUGUUGAAGACUGGUUUAACAUUUUUCUGUAUUUCACUUCAGGAUCUUAAGCAUGUAUGAUAUUCAGGAGGAGGAUCUCGAUGGAUUUACUGAGCAUCCACAUUUUUUGGUGUCAGUUGAAACAUCUUCACUGCAAACGCAGCUACCAAUUAUAGAAUUACUAAAAGUACUAUCUUAAUUUGUUGCUUUAUUUUUCUUGUUCCACAUUGGACUCAUCUCCAAGUAGACAUGCAGUAUACAGUAUAUAAUUUGUUCCACGUUUUUCUUUUGUAGGAUUUCAUGAGUGGGAAAGCUCUCUACAGGAACCUCAUGGGUAUCCUUCAGGUUGGGGUCAAUGCCAUCAUCAGCGAGCGAUUGAGUAAAACUUAUGGGAAGAUCUUAGAAAAGGCAGUACAACUUUCUUUGGAAAUCUUACUGCUCGUCUUUGAGAAGGAUUUGCUUGUUUCCGAUGUUUGGCGUCCGCUGUACCAGGUACCUGGUUGUUCGUUUGAUGCAUUUGAGCUUUAUUUUGUAUAUCACCCAGUCAUUCAAACUCCUAAAUAUGUGGUGAAGAUUGUUAUAUGUGAGAAUGCAGUAAUAUAAGUAUUUUUUCGAAAGAGUAUUCAUAGGUUUACCUGGAUGCACUGUCAGAGCUUUCUAGGACAGUAGGAAGUUUGCACCAAUCGUUACCAAGUUUAGCUAUUUCAUCAAUCUAUACAUCCAAUGCCAUACUAGAAAGUGUAUUAUAGUAAUUGCACAAGAUUUUUGUCAAAUUUAAAUAUUCCUGUCUCAAAUUAGAUCCACAUUCUAUUUUUCUAAUCCACAAUGAAUGUAAGUUCUAGUGCACCAUUCGAAUUAGGUUACUAACUUAAAGUCAAAAGAUGAAGUGUAGGAAGCUUAGGGGAAUUGCUUUUAUUGUUGUCAAUCAUAAGCUACUUGACUAAUAGCAAUAUAUAUUAUUCCUCCUCCAACCUUUAGUUAAGUUAGUUUAUUUUGACCAUUAUUGGGUUGGUGGUGUAAAAUGUGAAACGGGACUCUAUUGUUAAUUUGGGAAUUGCUGGGAAACUUUUGGUAUUUUUGCGCCCCACCAGCUAUAGCUUGAACAACAAUUAUUUUCAUAAAGCACAAUCAGCAUGCCUUCCCUAAUUUUAUGUUAAGGCACAAGAUGGUCAAUAAUAUUAUCUUUUGUUAUUGCUGCAGCCUUUGGAUAUAAUUCUCUCACAAGAUCAUAAUCAAAUUAUAGCCUUGCUGGAGUAUGUCAGAUAUGAUUCUCUUCCUCAGAUUCAGCGAUCUUCAAUCAAAAUCAUGAACAUUUUAAGGUGGUAACAAAUUUCGUUUGAGACAUCUCUGUAGUUUGGUUUAACCACAUAACUUUUUUUCUUAGAUAGCAUUAGCAAAUACCAUUAUCAACUACUUUCAGAUCCUCAGACUUUUGGAUGUUUGAUUCCUUAGCUUUGUAUAAUUAGUUUAACCUUAUGUUUUGAUAUGAAUUACACGGGUUUUAUUAAUCAUAUGCUCGAUGACAGUUCUCGCUUGGUUGGACUUGUUCCAAUGCUGAUCAAAAUUGAUGCUGCGAAUUCCUUGAUCGAGGAUUAUGCGGCCUGCCUUGAGGUACGACUUGAAGAGGGUGAAGUUGUAGAGAACAGUUGUGAUGAUCUGGGGGUCCUUAUUAUGCAGGUUAGUUUCAGUAGUUGACUGUUACACUUAAUAGAAUAUCACACUAUGUGCACUAUGGCUUGGGUCUUAUCUACUUUCUUUCAUCAUGAUUGAUUCAUUCGUACAUAUCAUAUCAUCUCAAUGGUAUGACUUUCACAUUUGUAGCUUCUGGUUGACAAUAUCAACCGGCCUGCACCAAGUAUCACACAUUUGCUUCUGAAGUUUGACCUUGACGCCCCUGUGGAAGGGACAGUUUUGCAGCCUAAGUUUCACUACAGGUUUGAUUGUAAUUUGUAUACAGAAUAAUAUGUAUUUCAACCAUGAUCUCAUUUUGUUUUGCAAUCUGCAGUUGUCUGAAGGUCAUUCUUGAAAUGUUGGAGAAGCUUCCAAACCCCGAUAUAAACUUCUUACUCUUUGAGUUUGGCUUCCAGGUGGGAUAUACUAAUGCCGGAUGAUAACUAUCUGGUCUUUUCAAAGAAGUGAAAUUCUAUUUGGUCUAUUGUUUUUUGUACACUUAACUUUUACUUUUUGCAGCUUUUGUGUGAGUUGAAUUUGGAUCCGUUAACUAGUGGUCCAACCAUGGAUCUCUUGAGCAGCAAGAAAUAUCAGUUUUUUCUCCAGGUACACCAGAUUUUGCUUCUCCUUAUACCAAAAUAAUGCCAUCUUUUCCUUGAGGGCUGCCUCAUCCAAGUCACAAAUAACAACUUAUAUUUUACUCGUCCUUACUUUCUUAUUAUACUUUGAUGUUGCAGCACCUCGAUACCAUUGGUGUUGCCACUCUUCCAAAAAGAAGUGGCAGCCAGGCACUCCGUAUUAGUUCCCUUCAUCAGGUAUAUUAUAUAUUCUUUAAUUUCAGUGUCAAGUGUAUCCGACUCUGAUUAGUUUCAUGACAGAAUCUAAGCGGUUUUACUCUCUGCUAUCAACUAUUUUUGUUUAUAACAUUUUUUCCCGAAAUGUUAACUGCCUAUAUGCAAUACUGUUAGAUUUACAGUGAGUAAAAAAAAAACAUUUUUUUUUUUUUUUUUUUUCAUACAAAAAAAAAUAUAUAUAUAUUUUUUUUUGUGAUAGAAUGUCCCUAGGCUGUUUUUGUAUCUAAUACUCUCUGUUUCUGUUUUUUUCUAUUCCAUCAUGCGUAAAUUUUUUCACUCAGCAGAUACAGUAAUUUUUUCUUCCGUUCUUGUUUUCCUGCUACGCUCGACUCAUGUGCAAAAUGAUAUCUGCCUAAAUGCAAUAUUUCUUUUUGCUGGUUCUCAGUCAACGAAAAAGCGAUAAUCUGCAUUUAUGCACUACUUCUUUUUAUUGUGAUACCUUAGAAUUCAUGUAGGUAGUAAUUUUCUUGCUAUGUCUUCCAUAAGCAAAUUUAUGUGGAUAGUUACUUUUUUGCUAAGCUGUCAAGUCUUAUUUGGUUUCUGCUCCCUGUCAUUGUGGAGAGAAUACAAUAGUGGCACUUUUUUCUCUCUUGUUUCUUUAGUAAUAGUUUUUGUUAUCUAAACGUGUUCCUUAAACAGAUCAAAUGACAUGAUCAAUAAUCUAUUACAAUGCUACAUAGUCCUUUUUGCUGUUGAUAACAUUUCUCAUUUUCUCAAUAUCUACCUUUCCCAGAGGGCGUGGCUAUUAAAGCUCCUAGCUAUUGCACUGCAUACUGGUUCUGGAAGCAGUUCAGCUCACCUAGAGGCAUGUCAGAGCAUACUUUCUCAUCUUUUUGGGCGGGAGGUAACUGAAGCAGCGAAUGAACCUUUUUCUUCCAGUACAUAUCCUCAGGAUGGUCUUGAUUAUACUGGAACGAGUUCAAUCAGUAAAAGUAAGGUGAGUUUGGAAACACCUGCGUUUUAUGCUCUACUAUGCUUUAUGGCACAUCCUAGUUUUAUCCCUACUGCCGGUGUUCUGCAUGUGUAGCAUUGGUCUAAGAUUCUACCAUUUUAUAGUUGAGGCCAUCCAUGCAUGAUACAAAUAACUGUACUGACCCCACUCUUUCUGAAGUCACCAGCAUGUUGCCUUGCUGAUGUGCAGUUGUGCACCAUCUCUUAACAGUUUAACAUUCAUUGAAAAGCAGUAUUUAAAAUAUUAAGAUGUCUCCUUUUUUCCAUGCAACAGCAUUUUCCUUCACUGUAAAUCUAACAAUGUUGCGCUUGUCAUCAUUUCUUGCCUAGUUUUAAGUCGUUUUAUGGGUGCUGCUGUCUGACUUUUGUUUCUUCUUUGGAUUGAGUUCAGGCAUUGGCUUUGCUUGAAAUUCUUCAGUUUAGAUCUCCUGAUACUUCGAUGCAGCUUCCUCAAAUUGUGUCCAGCCUAAAGUAUGACUCACUGGUAAGGCUUGGGGAAUAUGGAGGUGUGUUUGCGUUAAGUAUAUUGCUCUAAAUAUGGAGUUUAAAAUUUCAGGUGGAGGACAUACUUGAGAACCGUGAUAACUCUGUUAGUGGCAGUAUCUACUACUAUUCUGAGCGUGGUGAUCGGCUAAUUGAUCUAUCUUCCUUCAGCAACAAACUCUGGCAGGUUAGUUCUUGUUAUAAUGGACAUCAGAUCUUCUCUCUAAUGAACAUUAAUGUUUCUCCUGUAAUGAAUAUUUAUGCUGAUUCUAUUGUUUGUUCAGAAGCUACAUUCUGGAUUUCCCCUAGUGGAUAGUUUUCCAAAUGUUGCUGAGCUUAGUGAAGUUAGAGAGACAAUUCAACAGCUGUUGAAAUGGGGCUGGAAGUAUAAUCGAAACCUUGAGGAGCAAGCUGCCCAACUUCAUAUGUUAGCUGGCUGGUCUCAGAUUGUUGAGGUUGAUUUUUUUCUUAAAAAAUCAGAUCACCUUUAGUAUCAUUAGCGUGUGCCACUCUUUUAAGAUAUCAAGUAUUUAUCUUUUGUGUUGUGCUUCGUAUGUUUUUGUUUUAGGUGUCUGCUUGCAGGAGAAUAUCUUCUCUUGAUAAUCGGUCUGAAAUUUUGUACCGGUGAGUACCUUUUGUAUCAGAGGUUAGUUGCUUGCGGAAGCUUUCUUGAACAUUGCAUGACUUGUUCUUCUCUGGUCGUUGGCAGGAUACUUGAUGCCUCUCUUAGUGCCUCCGCGUCUCCAGAUUGUUCAUUAAAAAUGGCGUUCGUACUUACUCAGGUGCAUUUUAGCUGUUGAGUAACUUUUAUUGUAAAAUGUGCUGUCUAUGUACUAACUUUAGGUUUUAAUAGGUUGCCCUUACCUGCAUUGCCAAACUUCGUGAUGAUAGAUUUUCAUUUCAAGGGGCCUUGAGUUCUGACACCGUGACAUGUCUAGAUGUUAUGAUGGUCAAACAUUUAUCCACUGGUGCUUGCCACUCAGUUCUAUUUAAACUUGUUAUGGCAAUUCUAAGGCAUGAGUCAUCAGAAUCUUUGAGAAGGCGGUACAGUACUAAGUUCCCUUAGUUGUCUUUUUACUUUCUUAUAAUACAACAUAAAGUCAUAUUCUGCCCAGCUUAUCUAAUUUCGGCUUUUCCCCGUUUCUAACACAUUUGCCUUUCUUCAUCAGCCAAUAUGCAUUGCUCUUGAGCUAUUUCCAGUACUGCCAGCAUAUGAUUGCUCUGGAUGUGCCAACAUCAGUUGUGCAGUUCUUGUUACUUAAUGAGCAAGACGGUGAAGAUUUGGAUAUCCAGAAGGCAUGUGUUUGCUGAUUAACCCGAGACUUAUUUUGUUCGGACGAUAAUUUAAUGUUUUUUUUUCUUGUCUUUCAGAUUGACAAGGAGCAGGCUGACCUUGCUCGUGCCAACUUUUUUAUAAUAAAGAAAGAAGCUCAGGGCAUCUUGGAUCUGGUAAUUGUUACUUCUUUAUUGAUAUGAGCCAUAUUCAUUUGCACUGUUUCACAUUGAGAGUACUGAUUCCAGGUAAUCAAGGAUGCAAGUCAAGGCAGUGAGUUUGGGAAAACAAUAUCACUUUAUGUGCUGGAAGCUCUUGUUUGUAUUGAUCACGAGAGAUAUUUUCUUAGUCAGCUCCAGAGCCGAGGUUUCAUACGGUCUUGCCUUGGAAGCAUUAGUAAUAUCUCCUACCAGGUAAUAUCCCUGUGAACUUCUGAGUGUGGUCAUUGCUAUGAAUAUUGUAGAAGUUUUUAGUAGCCCAUUGCUAUGAAAUCUCUUGUUGCAACUUGUUUAACUAGUGGUAAUUAAUUAAUUUGGGUUUGACUGAUAAACUGCAAAAAUAGAUUAAAUUGUAUUUGAGUCAAUAAUACCCUUUCAGUGCGUAGGAGUUCAUACAUGCAAAUUCAAGCUCACAGUUAUUUAUAUAUGCAAGAUCGUCAAAAUAGGAUCGCAAACCUGUUAAAUCUUCUUUAAGAGUGGCAUAAUGUGGCCAGUUAGCUGUUGGUUUGACUUUUUGAUCCACAUUAAAAGACUCGACACCCUAUGUAACUCGUGUGUGUUUUAUGUCCCAUUUACAUAGGAGGUAUCGGCGAUCUUAAUCUUCAUAUGCUGCUAGUUUACAUACUUUGGAGACCUGAUUUAUAUGUGGGUAUUUUUAUUUUCGAGGACUUGUCAUUCAUGCAUGUGCAUUUAUCAUAUUAUUGGGCCCAGGAUGGAACACAUUUGCUGGAGUCACAACAGCGAGCAUGUACCUUAGAAGCAGAAUUUGCAUUGCUACUUAGAAUUAGUCACAAGUACGGAAAGUCUGGAGGCCAGGUUCUGUUCUCCAUGGGUGCGCUGGAACAUAUCGCUUCAUGUAGAGCUAUCAGCUUUAAGGUAAUAUAUUUAUCUGUAGUUAUCAGGUUUUCGAUAUGUGACCUCAAUUUUGCCUCUGCUUUUAAUCCCAAAAGUGCCUUCCAGGGAAAUAUGAGACGGGUGGAUAUGAAACUUCAGAGUGAUGUAGGAUAUAAUGUGCAAAAGCAACGAACAAUAAUCACUGCUGUCCUAAGACUGAUGUUUGCUCUAACCUCAUUGGUUGAGACCUCUGAAUUUUUCGAGGUCAGCCGCGUUUCCCAGAUGACCUUUUCUUUUAUGAUCUUUUGCAUUGCUAAUUCAAUACUCCCUUCCAUAUGUAUUGGCCUGGUUUAGUGAGCAUGAUUUGCCAUUUAAACACUAUUUUCCAGAUCGUUUAGGGCCUUUCUAAGACUGCAAUUUCUAUAUUCUUACUUGUGAUUUAUUUGGGGACUUGUGUGGGAGUAAUACAGACCUUCUAAAAUUGAAUGACAGACACCGAGUUCAGUUUGUUUGAGAUAUGAAAUUAGUAUUGUUUGCAUCUUGUAGAAACUUGAAUGAUGCACUGAUUUUCUAUUGCUAUUGUUUACAUCUUUUAUGCCUCUAACAAGUAGAAGUAGGAAAUAGGUGAGUGUCUUCAAACGUUUCACCUUAUACAAGUACAAUCACUUGAUGACAUUUGCAGUAUAGUUUGCAAGACAUAACAAUCUAAUACUGAGAUGCAGAAAAUUUUAGGACAGUUAGUAUUGUUCUUGUUAGUUUUUUUAGGUAUGAUCUUGAUUUCUUUUUCACCUAUUCUUUUCCUAUUCAACUAAUUAUGCAAGUCAUUGUUGUUGAUUAUUCUGGGUAACUGGUUUUCUUGGUAUGCGAACUAUAAUGAUUUUCUUUCUUCUUUCUCUACCUGGGCGUUUGAUAGGGGAGGAAUAAAAUUGUUCGUGAAGUCAUUGAGUUUAUCAAAGGACAUCAAUUUCUUUUUGACCAACUUCUUCGGGAAGACUUUACUCAAGCAGAUGAUUUAUUGAUGGAGCAAAUUAUUCUUGCAGUGGGAAUAUUGAGCAAGGUAAUUCUUUGGCGAGCUAUAAGUUCUUAAUUUUUUUCUUCUUAAAGGGCAUUUGCUUCUCUUUUUGUGAUUGCAUCUUCAAGAGGGCUCAAAAAAUCCCACAAGCUAGUUAUAGAUGCGUUUUCUAGAAAGUGAGUUUGCUUGUUUUGUAGGUCUGGCCUUUUGAAGAGAACGAUGGAUAUGGAUUUGUUCAAGGGCUUUUUGAUAUGAUGAGCAACCUUUUCAUCGUCUCCCCCAUAAAAUUGAUAUCAUCGCAGGUAGGACAAGUAGUUCAGGUACAUGUUUGAGUAUCAGUAUAUAUUUUUUUGGCACCUUGUCAUCCAAUCCUUGAAUUCUUAUAUUCGAUGGGUUUCUCUUUUUUGUUUGUCAUCUGGUGGACAGAAGGGGUCAGAGCUCAAAUUGUCUCAGUUGCGAUUCAGCUUGACUUCUUACUUAUAUUUUCUGGUGACCAAAAACUCUCUGAGGUUGCAGGUACUUUUGUAGUUAUUUCCCUCGAUUUCUUCUGUCCACGUUUUCAUUAUUCAGUUGUUUGAAUGAACUACAAGUAAAUACUCAUGCCCCUUGUCCCCACACCCACCCCUCCUCCCAGGUUUCCGAUGAUUCUCUUGAUAGUUCCACUAAACUACGCCAACCAACGUUACUGUUGCUUGCAUCUCUUCUUUCGCAUGUGACUGAUUCCCUCGAGAGAGCAGCAGAGAAAAAGUCCUUACUUCUUCAUAAGGUAUAUUAUAUCCUAAUUCCUACUCUUUAUAUGUUUCAAACUCCUUUUAUAUAUAUAUAUAUAUAUAUAUAUAUAUAUAUAUUCGAAGUUGCAUGUAUGAUUGGCAGAUUAGAGACAUAAACGAGCUCUCAAGACAAGAUGUAGAUGCGAUCAUCAAGAUAUGUGAUUGCCAAGAAUAUGUCACACCGUCCGACAACAUACAUAAAAGGUUAGUGAAUUCCUUUCUUCGGCUUGCUCAUGCGUGCAUAUGCUAAAGCAGAAAUGGGUUAUUAACAUAGAAUUUUUCCAGCUUUUUCCUAUCAGUGAUUAGUAAGACGUUUGACAACUGUUUAUAUUUGUUUGUGGCUUGUUACUUACCUCAGGAGAUACAUAGCUAUGGUUGAAAUGUGCCAAAUCGUGGGUAACAGGGACCAGUUAAUCACCUUGUUACUACAACUUGCCGAGCAUGUACUAAAUAUUAUCCUGAUCCAUCUCCAAGAUAGGUAUGCCACUUUAUCUUCAACAAUUAAUAUCUUAAAUGUUGUUAAGUGAAUAUAUUUUGGAAAUCUACGAUGGUCAUACGGUUUGCUCUAGGGUAAUAUGCUAAACACUUGACAUCUGCAGAUCCGUUAGUUCAAAUGAAAGGGGAUCAUAUGGUUCAAAAUCCCAUCUACAACAGGAUGUUACAGAUCUAUGUGGCAAAUUGUCACCUACCAUAGAGAGGCUUGCAUUACUGAAUGAGGUAAAGUCUAAUCGAUUUACGAGAAUUUAAGAUUAUUUAUGUGUUGAAUGGGAACGGUGGUGGUGACCCAACUUGUCUAUCGCAGGGAAAAGUAGGACAUAACCUGAAGGUGUUCCAGAGACUGGCAACGACUGUAAAAGAAAUGGCCAUCCAAAAGUGUUUAUGAUAAUAAGCUUCUCAAGAAAUGUAUUUUUUGUGGUUGAACAAUUUUUGUGUGUGAAAUGUCCAAAUCUGAAAUUGUAGUGCGGGUCUGUAUAACUGAGGUACUUCAAUCACAAAAUAGUAAGGUGUUAUCCAAUAUCCAUAUGAAUUCAGAUAAUACUUUCUCUGAGGUGAUUGGGAAAAACUUUAAAAGCUCCAACUUUAUUUUAAAGUCUUGAAAGCCAAAAACUUUUACCAUUCAGAGUUUUUUUUCUUGUUUUUUUUCACCACAUUCUAACUGCCCACGUCUUCUCUUUUUACUCUUUGUACGUCUAUUCUUUUAAAAGUCAUGUAAGUGUUACUUGAUAUGUUUUAAUCUCAUUAUAAACAAAUCGUCUUUGCUCAAAUUAAAUGAAUUAUACAGCAUUCAAACAUAAAGUCUAAGGGUAUAAAGCAGAAGAAUGAAUGAAUAAAAGCAAAGCAUUUUUUACAACUAGCUAAUCUAAUAAGAUUUGAACAAUUAGCAAGUUCUAUUUGUUAUCAUCUUCUUGGUGUUUUGCCUGUAGAUGAUAUUAAAGUUUCUGAUGUCACCUAAUGUUGGAAUUUUCCCAAUUUGCUCCUUACGUAACCACGAGUUGUGAGUGUCCAAGAGAUGGAUAAGGAGAUAACGGAGGCACAGAAAAUAUUCUCAUCUCUUUACUGUCUUGUCCGUCCCAAAACCCCAUCCAACUUGACGGUGUUAACGGGCAAACCUCAGCCUGAGCCUGAAUUUCUGCCUCUUCCCUCUUCACAGCUUUAUGGCUACACAGGUUACUUCCAUGAAUUUCAUCCUCCGUUACUUGUCUCUUCCUCUUUGCUUUUAAAGACACAGUAGUCUUGUUGUUAUUGUUGUCGUCUCCUAAGUCCUCGUGCUUUCCUGCUUCGAGUGGAAAGUUAAGAAUGGCUUUGCUUCCUCGUAGUUUAAAAGCAGCCUUGUCGUAACCUCUUGCAGCUUCCAUGGCUGUGUCAAAAGUGCCUAGCCAGACACGAACACCUUUCUUGUUUGGGUCUCUGAUCUCAGCCGCAUACUUACCCCACGGUCUUCUCCUGACGCCUCUGUAGUGCCUUUGAUCAUCAACCUCUUGAACCACUGGUGCAGUUGUAGGAACUGCUAUAGUGGCAAGAGGUGGCUUGCGUUGGCUUAGAGUUGAGGUGGUGCAGUGGUGGAUGGUGGAGACAAAGGUGUCUAAGGAAGGGAAAUCGGUAAGAAGGUGUUGGGUUAUGAGAUCUAAAGCUGAUUGGUCUUGUUCUUGUUGUUGUUGAUCUGAAGAAGCCAUAGAUGAAAG